RNAcentral lists this small RNA (419 nucleotides) under Pongo abelii (Sumatran orangutan). Its description in RNAcentral is "retained intron". Lineage: Eukaryota; Metazoa; Chordata; Mammalia; Primates; Hominidae. The record is from RNAcentral.
ACUGAAUCAGGUCGGCUUUGUGCAUUUAUUACUAAAGUAAAAAAAGGAAGUUUAGCUGAUACUGUAGGACAUCUUAGACCAGGUGAUGAAGUAUUAGAAUGGAAUGGAAGACUACUGCAAGGAGCCACAUUUGAGGAAGUAUACAACAUCAUUCUAGAAUCCAAACCUGAACCACAAGUAGAACUUGUAGUUUCAAGGCCUAUUGGAGAUAUACCGAGAAUACCUGAUAGCACACAUGCACAACUGGAGUCCAGUAAGUUUUAUUUAUGCUGGAAGAAAAUGUUAUUUAUAAUUGCAUUCAUCAGAAGUCAGAUGAAGUAUUUAGCUAGUAAUGUGAAGUAAGAAAUAUGAUAACCUUGUUAUUAAGUCUGUAAGCAUAUAAAGAUGGAAAAUUUAGUAUUAUUUCAUGUCACUGUGGG